GACGAACGCUGGCGGCGUGCUUAACACAUGCAAGUCGAACGGAAAGGCCCUGCUUUUGUGGGGUGCUCGAGUGGCGAACGGGUGAGUAACACGUGAGUAACCUGCCCUUGACUUUGGGAUAACUUCAGGAAACUGGGGCUAAUACCGGAUAGGAGCUCCUGCUGCAUGGUGGGGGUUGGAAAGUUUCGGCGGUUGGGGAUGGACUCGCGGCUUAUCCGCUUGUUGGUGGGGUAGUGGCUUACCAAGGCUUUGACGGGUAGCCGGCCUGAGAGGGUGAACGGGGACAAGAGGACUGAGAGACGGAGCAGACUCGAACGGGAGGCAGCAGUGGGGAGUAUUGCACAAUGGGCGGGAGCCUGAUGCAGAAGCGCCGGGUGCGGGAUGACGGGCUUCGGGUUGUAAACCGCUUUCGCCGGUGACGAAGCGUGAGUGACGGUAAUGGGUAAAGAAGCACCGGCUAACUACGUG
This 468-nucleotide ribosomal RNA is filed under the name uncultured bacterium. RNAcentral's name for it is "partial 16S ribosomal RNA". It matches the Rfam family "Bacterial small subunit ribosomal RNA", at positions 28 to 507 of the family's 1533-position model. The record is from RNAcentral.